RNAcentral lists this ribosomal RNA (453 nucleotides) under uncultured bacterium. Its description in RNAcentral is "bacterial SSU rRNA". It matches the Rfam family "Bacterial small subunit ribosomal RNA", at positions 340 to 786 of the family's 1533-position model. The record is from RNAcentral.
UACGGAAGGCAGCAGUGGGGAAUAUUGCACAAUGGGCGCAAGCCUGAUGCAGCCAUGCCGCGUGUAUGAAGAAGGCCUUCGGGUUGUAAAGUACUUUCAGUCGUGAGGAAGGUGUUAAGGUUAAUAACCUUAGCAAUUGACGUUAGCGACAGAAGAAGCACCGGCUAACUCCGUGCCAGCAGCCGCGGUAAUACGGAGGGUGCGAGCGUUAAUCGGAAUUACUGGGCGUAAAGGGCACGCAGGCGGUUAAUUAAGUUGGAUGUGAAAUCCCCGGGCUUAACCUGGGAAUGGCAUUCAAGACUGGUUAGUUAGAGUCUUGUAGAGGGGGUAGAAUUCCAUGUGUAGCGGUGAAAUGCGUAGAGAUGUGGAGGAAUACCGGUGGCGAAGGCGGCCCCUGGACAAAGACUGACGCUCAUGUGCGAAAGCGUGGGGAGCAAACAGGGAUUAGAUACC